This 430-nucleotide ribosomal RNA is filed under the name Pseudomonadota bacterium. Its description in RNAcentral is "Proteobacteria bacterium partial 16S ribosomal RNA". It matches the Rfam family "Bacterial small subunit ribosomal RNA", at positions 355 to 776 of the family's 1533-position model. Lineage: Bacteria; Pseudomonadati; Pseudomonadota. The record is from RNAcentral.
UGGGGAAUAUUGGACAAUGGGGGGAACCCUGAUCCAGCCAUGCCGCGUGUGUGAAGAAGGCCUUAUGGUUGUAAAGCACUUUAAGCGAGGAGGAGGGUACUGGUAUUAAUACUACCAGCUACUGGACGUUACUCGCAGAAUAAGCACCGGCUAACUCUGUGCCAGCAGCCGCGGUAAUACAGAGGGUGCGAGCGUUAAUCGGAAUUACUGGGCGUAAAGCGCGCGUAGGUGGUUCGUUAAGUUGAAUGUGAAAGCCCCGGGCUCAACCUGGGAACUGCAUCCAAAACUGGCGAGCUAGAGUAGGGCAGAGGGUGGUGGAAUUUCCUGUGUAGCGGUGAAAUGCGUAGAGAUCUGGAGGAAUACCGAUGGCGAAGGCAGCCAUCUGGCCUAACACUGACGCUGAGGUACGAAAGCAUGGGGAGCAAACAGG